This 91-nucleotide transfer RNA is filed under the name Dendroctonus ponderosae (mountain pine beetle). It matches the Rfam family "tRNA". From Rfam's summary of the family: Transfer RNA (tRNA) molecules are approximately 80 nucleotides in length. Their secondary structure includes four short double-helical elements and three loops (D, anti-codon, and T loops). Lineage: Eukaryota; Metazoa; Arthropoda; Insecta; Coleoptera; Curculionidae. The record is from Rfam by way of RNAcentral.
CCUUCGAUAGCUCAGUUGGUAGAGCGGUGGACUGUAGUUUGUUUAGGAAGUUGAAAUCCAUAGGUCGCUGGUUCAAAUCCGGCUCGAAGGA